UCUGCUCUGGCACAAUCCCAGCAGUGGCUGGUGGGGAAUUGCUGUUUUUACAUUUCUGUAUUAUUUUCCCAUAAGGAAUAUGGAUAGCAAAUGAAAUAUUCAGCCCCAUUGUUUGAUUUAUUCCUUUUAUUAUCCUCAAAUAUCAGCCCAGCAGUCAAAGGAUGCCUCACCACAUCCAGGGGGCCACUCGGGGCCUGACAGCCUAUCAAGUCUCCUCGCAUAAACAGACCCUCUCCCUGCCUGAACCUGCAGUGGCCGUCAAAGAAAUCCAUCCAUCCGCCCAGGAUGACUAUGACUGAUGCCACCAAAUGAUCCAUUUGUAUCCCUUUUCUCAUUCUCCUCCUUUCUCUUUCUUCUCUCUGUUGUUUUCUCUUCUAUUUCGCUUUCUCUCUCUUUGUCUCCUUCACUUCAUUCUCUUGCUAUGUUGUUGCAGAAUGUGAGGCACGUGGAAGUAACAGUGCAAUCACUAUUUGACCUUGGAGACACUGAUAAUUCUUCACUUGCAAGGUUUGAUUCCAAAGUCUAGUUGAACUUUGACAUGCUGAGAAAUCAAUGUUUAGGGAUCUAUAGACAAAACAUGUCCUUAAAACUGCAAUGUGGGUUGAUUCAGAGUUGCGUCAGAGUGCCCGAUUAGUUCGACGGGACGCGUCUCUCCUUCAUUCAUUAAGCUGUAAUUGGAUGUGAUUCUCACUCAGGAACGCAGCAUCCUCAGAUUCCUCCAAGGCAUGCGAGGUGAUGAUGACAGUGUUAGAAAGAGCUGUUAAUCCAUCUUGUAAUUGCACGGAGCAGACGGCAGGGUCGGCCGUGCCCUCUGAAAAGGCUGCAAGAGAAACAUUUAGUCACCAGACGUGAACAAUAGGAGGGCAUUGUGUCGUUUUGGUGCGUCUGCAUGUGCAACAAAAAGCUUUUGUGUAUAUGUUUUUUUUGUGGUAGCAUGUAAAAUGAAAGUGAAAGGUGGGAUUUUGUACACGUGAUGCCGGUCUGUGCAUGUAUGUUGAAGCUUAUAUUGUUUGUGCAUGGUGGUGUGUGUGUGUGUGUGCGUGUGUGUGUGUGUGUAUGGUGGGGGUCCCUUUUCCUUGCUAUUCAAAGACAAUUUGUAAAGCCGUCUGUUGACGCCAGGCCGAAGCCCUUGGAACAGCUGGAGCCCCUCCAUGAUUGAUAAAUGUGGCGGCGAGAACUUCAUCUCCCCCUGAAUGAAGACAAAGGCCCCACAACGCUCCGCCAGUGUGUUACGCCUGCCUGUCGUUAAGUGUGGGGACUGCGGACCUGCCCCGGUCCUCAGCUGGGGGAGUCGAGGUGCCAAGAGGGAGGCAUCCUCCACGCUGCAACAAAGUGGAUUUCUGGCCCAUCCAUUGCGCUGCGCUUGUCGACAUUUCAGCUGCCAGGACGCACAAUGAAUGAGUGAAUAUUGAUGAACAACAAGAUGAACCCGGGCCAUUUUUCCCCGUUACUGCUGGCGUGGAGGUGGUGAAAAGAGGAGAGG
Gasterosteus aculeatus aculeatus (three-spined stickleback) is the source of this 1483-nucleotide non-coding RNA. The record is from RefSeq and is a predicted model, not a curated record. Lineage: Eukaryota; Metazoa; Chordata; Actinopteri; Perciformes; Gasterosteidae.